RNAcentral lists this ribosomal RNA (912 nucleotides) under uncultured archaeon. RNAcentral's name for it is "bacterial SSU rRNA". It matches the Rfam family "Archaeal small subunit ribosomal RNA", at positions 23 to 922 of the family's 1478-position model. The record is from RNAcentral.
CCGACUGCUAUUUGGGUGAGGAUAAGCCAUGCGAGUUGAAUGGGAAACCUAAAGUUCCCAUGGCAAACUGCUCAGUAACACAUGAUCAACUUACCCUAUAGAGAAAAAUAACCUCGGGAAACUGAGGAUAAUGUUUCAUAGUUGAAUUGGCUUGGAAAAGUUUUUCGACGAAAGGGGUAAAAAAAAUGGUUUUUAUCUGCUAUAGGAUAGGAUCGUGUUCGAUUAUGGUUGUUGGUGAGGUAAUGGCUCACCAAGCCGAUAAUCGAUAGGGGCCGUGAGAGCGGGAGCCCCGAGAUGGGUACUGAGACAACGACCCAGGCCUUACGAGGCGCAGCAGGCGCGAAACCUCCGCAAUACACGAAAGUGUGACGGGGUUACCCAAAGUGUUCAAUAGAACUGUGGUAGGUGAGUAAUGUUCCCUACUAGAAAGGAGAGGGCAAGGCUGGUGCCAGCCGCCGCGGUAAAACCAGCUCUUCAAGUGGUCGGGAUAAUUAUUGGGCUUAAAGUGUCCGUAGCCGGUUUAGUAAGUUCCUGGUAAAAUCGGGUAGCUUAACUAUCUAUAUGCUAGGAAUACUACUAUACUAGAGGGCGGGAGGGGUCUGAGGUACUGCAGGGGUAGGGGUGAAAUCUUAUAAUCCUUGUUGGACCACCAGUGGCGAAGGCGUCAGACUGGAACGCGCCCGACGGUGAGGGACGAAAGCCAGGGGAGCGAACCGGAUUAGAUACCCGGGUAGUCCUGGCCGUAAACGAUGCAUACUAGGUGAUGGCACGGCCAUGAGCCGUGUCAGUGCCGUAGGGAAACCGUUAAGUGUGCCGCCUGGGAAGUACGGUCGCAAGGCUAAAACUUAAAGGAAUUGGCGGGGGAGCACCACAAGGGGUGAAGCCUGCGGUUCAAUUGGAUUCAACGCCGGA